Molecule: non-coding RNA, 75 nt
Organism: Chiloscyllium plagiosum (whitespotted bambooshark)
Lineage: Eukaryota; Metazoa; Chordata; Chondrichthyes; Orectolobiformes; Hemiscylliidae
Source: the annotation of a RefSeq genome assembly
GGUCGGUUAGCUCAGCUGGUUUACAGCAUGCUGCUAAUAACGCCAAGGUCGUGGGCUCAAUCCCCACACUGACCA